RNAcentral lists this ribosomal RNA (301 nucleotides) under uncultured bacterium. Its description in RNAcentral is "partial 16S ribosomal RNA". It matches the Rfam family "Bacterial small subunit ribosomal RNA", at positions 509 to 809 of the family's 1533-position model. The record is from RNAcentral.
CAGUCGCCGCGGUAAUACAGAGGGUGCAAGCGUUAAUCGGAAUUACUGGGCGUAAAGCGCGCGUAGGUGGUUUGUUAAGUUGGAUGUGAAAGCCCCGGGCUCAACCUGGGAACUGCAUCCAAAACUGGCAAGCUAGAGUACGGUAGAGGGUGGUGGAAUUUCCUGUGUAGCGGUGAAAUGCGUAGAUAUAGGAAGGAACACCAGUGGCGAAGGCGACCACCUGGACUGAUACUGACACUGAGGUGCGAAAGCGUGGGGAGCAAACAGGAUUAGAUACCCCCGUAGUCCCUGUCUCUUAUAA